Molecule: signal recognition particle RNA, 266 nt
Filed under: Candidatus Cloacimonetes bacterium 4572_55
Lineage: Bacteria; Pseudomonadati; Candidatus Cloacimonadota
Also listed under: 1 other name
Description: signal recognition particle sRNA large type
Rfam family: Bacterial large signal recognition particle RNA
About the family: The signal recognition particle (SRP) is a universally conserved ribonucleoprotein involved in the co-translational targeting of proteins to membranes. Archaeal SRP consists of a 7S RNA and homologues of the eukaryotic SRP19 and SRP54 proteins.
Source: RNAcentral
CCGUGCUAGAUGGGGAGGUAGCGGUGCCCUGUUACCCGCAACCCGCUGUAGCGGGGUUGAAUUCCCAUCCGAGGUAUUGUGCCUUUUCCGAGAAAUAUAAAUAAGUGGCGCUGAACGCCAGAUCUUGCGCGACGUAACAUUACGAACCAGGUCAGGACCGGGAGGUAGCAGCCUUAAGUAACCCGUUACGGGUGCCGCAAGGCAAUCUGGUGGGAGCUAACUGGUAUAUUUUUCUUUAAAGAUAGAUAUCGAAGAUGGGUGCACGG